RNAcentral lists this ribosomal RNA (404 nucleotides) under Verrucomicrobiota bacterium. Its description in RNAcentral is "Verrucomicrobia bacterium partial 16S ribosomal RNA". It matches the Rfam family "Bacterial small subunit ribosomal RNA", at positions 355 to 776 of the family's 1533-position model. Lineage: Bacteria; Pseudomonadati; Verrucomicrobiota. The record is from RNAcentral.
UGGGGAAUAUUGCACAAUGGGCGCAAGCCUGAUGCAGCAACGCCGCGUGAACGAUGAAGGUCUUCGGAUCGUAAAGUUCUGUUGCAGGGGAAGAUAAUGACGGUACCCUGUGAGGAAGCCCCGGCUAACUACGUGCCAGCAGCCGCGGUAAUACGUAGGUGGCAAGCGUUGUCCGGAAUUAUUGGGCGUAAAGCGCGCGCAGGUGGUUUAGAAAGUCUGAUGUGAAAGCCCACGGCUCAACCGUGGAGGGUCAUUGGAAACUAAUAAACUUGAGUGCAGGAGAGAAAAGUGGAAUUCCUAGUGUAGCGGUGAAAUGCGUAGAGAUUAGGAGGAACACCGGUGGCGAAAGCGGCUUUUUGGUCUGCAACUGACACUGAGGCGCGAAAGCGUGGGGAGCAAACAGG